UGCCAGCAGCCGCGGUAAUACGGAGGGUGCAAGCAUUAAUCGGAUUCAUUGGGCGUAAAGGGUGCGUAGGCGGAAAAUUAAGUCAGGUGUGAAAGCCCGGGGCUCAACCUCGGAAUUGCAUUUGAAACUGGUUUUCUUGAGGAUAGGCGGGGAAAACGGAAUUCCACGUGUAGCGGUGAAAUGCGUAGAUAUGUGGAAGAACACCCGUGGCGUAGGCGGUUUUCUAGCUUAUUCCUGACGCUGAGGCACGAAAGCAAGGGGAGCGAACAGGAUUAGAUA
This 279-nucleotide ribosomal RNA is filed under the name uncultured bacterium. RNAcentral's name for it is "partial 16S ribosomal RNA". It matches the Rfam family "Bacterial small subunit ribosomal RNA", at positions 506 to 784 of the family's 1533-position model. The record is from RNAcentral.